CAGCAGCCACGGGAAUACAGAGGGUGCGAGCGUUAAUCGGAUUUACUGGGCGUAAAGCGUGCGUAGGCGGCUUCUUAAGUCGGAUGUGAAAUCCCUGAGCUUAACUUAGGAAUUGCAUUUGAUACUGGGAAGCUAGAGUAUGGGAGAGGAUGGUAGAAUUCCAGGUGUAGCGGUGAAAUGCGUAGAGAUCUGGAGGAAUACCGAUGGCGAAGGCAGCCAUCUGGCCUAAUACUGACGCUGAGGUACGAAAGCAUGGGGAGCAAACAGGAUUAGAUACCCCCGUAGUCCCUGUCUCUUAUAC
RNAcentral lists this ribosomal RNA (301 nucleotides) under uncultured bacterium. RNAcentral's name for it is "partial 16S ribosomal RNA". It matches the Rfam family "Bacterial small subunit ribosomal RNA", at positions 509 to 807 of the family's 1533-position model. The record is from RNAcentral.